RNAcentral lists this unclassified non-coding RNA (300 nucleotides) under uncultured Entoloma. RNAcentral's name for it is "sequence contains ITS2". Lineage: Eukaryota; Fungi; Basidiomycota; Agaricomycetes; Agaricales; Entolomataceae. The record is from RNAcentral.
AACGCACCUUGCACUCCUUGGUAUUCCGAGGAGCAUGCCUGUUUGAGUGUCAUGAAAGUCUCAACCUUACUGGCUAUUGUUUAUGGGCUAGUUUGGCUUGGAUUUGUGGAAGUUGCUAGUCAUUCUGUGAUUUAAGCUCUUCUUAAAAGCAUUAGCGAAUUCACUGCUAAAUCUCCUUGAUAUGAUAACUAUCAAUAUCCUUGGGAUUAUGUAUAUAAAUUUGCUUCUAAAUUGUCUCCAUGAGACCUAGUGUUUGACAAUUUUGACCUCAAAUCAGGUAGGACUACCCGCUGAACUUAA